GGGCCCGCACAAGCAGCGGAGCGUGUUGCUUAAUUCGAUGCAACGCGAAGAACCUUACCUGGGUUUGACAUGUAGGGAAAAGCUCUAGAGAUAGGGUGUCCUUCGGGGCCUUACACAGGUGGUGCAUGGCUGUCGUCAGUUCGUGUCGUGAGAUGUUGGGUUAAGUCCCGCAACGAGCGCAACCCUUAUCCUAUGUUGCCAGCAUUUAGUUGGGGACUCGUAGGAGACUGCCGGGGUCAACUCGGAGGAAGGUGGGGAUGACGUCAAGUCAUCAUGCCCCUUAUGCCCAGGGCUGCAAACACGCUACAAUGGCUGGUACAGAGGGCUGCGAACCCGCGAGGGCAAGCGAAUCCCAUAAAGCCAGUCUCAGUUCGGAUUGGAGUCUGCAACUCGACUCCAUGAAGCUGGAGUUGCUAGUAAUCGCAAAUC
This 429-nucleotide ribosomal RNA is filed under the name uncultured bacterium. RNAcentral's name for it is "bacterial SSU rRNA". It matches the Rfam family "Bacterial small subunit ribosomal RNA", at positions 917 to 1350 of the family's 1533-position model. The record is from RNAcentral.